GUAGCGGCGAGUGAAGCGGCAAAAGCUCAAAUUUGAAAUCUGGCACUUUCAGUGUCCGAGUUGUAAUUUGAAGAAGGUAUCUUUGGGUCUGGCUCUGUCUAUGUUUCUUGGAACAGAACGUCACAGAGGGUGAGAAUCCCGUGCGAUGAGAUGUCCCAGACCUAUGUAAAGUUCCUUCGAAGAGUCGAGUUGUUUGGGAAUGCAGCUCUAAGUGGGUGGUAAAUUCCAUCUAAAGCUAAAUAUUGGCGAGAGACCGAUAGCGAACAAGUACAGUGAUGGAAAGAUGAAAAGAACUUUGAAAAGAGAGUGAAAAAGUACGUGAAAUUGUUGAAAGGGAAGGGCUUGAGAUCAGACUUGGUAUUUUGUAUGUUACUCUCUCGGGGGUGGCCUCUACAGUUUACCGGGCCAGCAUCAGUUUGAGCGGUAGGAUAAGUGCAAAGAAAUGUGGCACUGCUUCGGUAGUGUGUUAUAGUCUUUGUCGAUACUGCCAGCUUAGACUGAGGACUGCGGCUUCGGCCUAGGAUGUUGGCAUAAUGAUCUUAAGUCGCCCGUCUUGAAACACGGACCAAGGAGUCUAACGUCUAUGCGAGUGUUUGGGUGUAAAACCCGUACGCGUAAUGAAAGUGAACGUAGGUAGGACCUCCUUUAGGAGUGCACUAUCGACCGAUCCUGAUGUCUUCGGAUGGAUUUGAGUAAGAGCAUAGCUGUUGGGACCCGAAAGAUGGUGAACUAUGCCUGAAUAGGGUGAAGCCAGAGGAAACUCUGGUGGAGGCUCGUAGCGGUUCUGACGUGCAAAUCGAUCGUCGAAUUUGGGUAUAGGGGCGAAAGAC
This 830-nucleotide ribosomal RNA is filed under the name Lodderomyces parapsilosis. RNAcentral describes it as "Candida parapsilosis partial large subunit ribosomal RNA". It matches the Rfam family "Eukaryotic large subunit ribosomal RNA", at positions 83 to 931 of the family's 3401-position model. Lineage: Eukaryota; Fungi; Ascomycota; Pichiomycetes; Serinales; Debaryomycetaceae. The record is from RNAcentral.